This 473-nucleotide ribosomal RNA is filed under the name uncultured bacterium. Its description in RNAcentral is "bacterial SSU rRNA". It matches the Rfam family "Bacterial small subunit ribosomal RNA", at positions 29 to 511 of the family's 1533-position model. The record is from RNAcentral.
AGUGAACGCUGGCGGCGUGCUUAACACAUGCAAGUCGAACGAGAACGGAAUAUAGCUUGCUAUAUUUGUCAGCUAAGUGGCGCUCGGGUGAGUAAUGUAUAGAUAACCUGCCCUUAAGAAAGGAAUAACAGUUGGAAACGACUGCUAAUGCCCUAUAUGCCUUUAAUACAUAAGUAUGCAAGGGAAACGCUUUAGUGCUUAAGGAUGGGUCUGUAUGGUAUCAGCUUGUUGGUGAGGUAAUGGCUCACCAAGGCUAUGACGCCUAACUGGUUUGAGAGGAUGAUCAGUCACACUGGAACUGAGACACGGUCCAGACUCCUACGGGAGGCAGCAGUGGGGAAUAUUGCACAAUGGACGAAAGUCUGAUGCAGCAACGCCGCGUGGAGGAUGACACAUUUCGGUGCGUAAACUCCUUUUAUAUAGGAAGAUAAUGACGGUACUAUAUGAAUAAGCACCGGCUAACUCCGUGCCAG